RNAcentral lists this small RNA (28 nucleotides) under Bombyx mori (domestic silkworm). RNAcentral describes it as "ovarian small RNA-27633". Lineage: Eukaryota; Metazoa; Arthropoda; Insecta; Lepidoptera; Bombycidae. The record is from RNAcentral.
UCCGUGGUGUUCGUGCUGACCUGACGAU